This 507-nucleotide ribosomal RNA is filed under the name uncultured bacterium. Its description in RNAcentral is "bacterial SSU rRNA". It matches the Rfam family "Bacterial small subunit ribosomal RNA", at positions 19 to 518 of the family's 1533-position model. The record is from RNAcentral.
AUGGCUCAGGAUGAACGCUAGCGAUAGGCCUAACACAUGCAAGUCGAGGGGCAGCACAUGAGUAGCAAUACGAUGGUGGCGACCGGCGCACGGGUGAGUAACACGUAUGCAACCUACCUUUAACAGGGGAAUAACCCGUUGAAAAACGGACUAAUACUCCAUAACACAGGGGUCCCGCAUGGGAAUAUUUGUUAAAGAUUAAUCGGUUGAAGAUGGGCAUGCGUUCCAUUAGCUUGUGGUGAGGUAACGGCUCACCAAGGCCACGAUGGAUAGGGGAACUGAGAGGUUUAUCCCCCACACUGGAACUGAGACACGGUCCAGACUCCUACGGGAGGCAGCAGUGAGGAAUAUUGGUCAAUGGAGGCAACUCUGAACCAGCCAAGUCGCGUGAAGGAUGAAGGUCUUAUGGAUUGUAAACUUCUUUUGCAAGGGAAUAAAGUGGGGGACGUGUCCUCCUUUGCAUGUACCUUGCGAAUAAGGAUCGGCUAACUCCGUGCCAGCAGCAGC